AACACAUGCAAGUCGAACGAGAAAGCACCUUCGGGUGUGAGUAGAGUGGCGCACGGGUGAGUAAUACAUAGGAACGUACCUUUUGGUGGGGGAUAACCAUUGGAAACGAUGGCUAAUACCGCAUGGUCUGGUAACAGUAAAGGUGGCCUCUCCUUGGAAGCUACCGCCGAAAGAUCGGCCUAUGUCCCAUUAGCUUGUUGGUAGGGUAAUGGCCUACCAAGGCUACGAUGGGUAGCUGGUUUGAGAGGAUGAUCAGCCACACUGGAACUGAGACACGGUCCAGACUCCUACGGGAGGCAGCAGUGGGGAAUAUUGCACAAUGGACGAAAGUCUGAUGCAGCAACGCCGCGUGAGUUAAGAAGGCCCUAGGGUUGUAAAGCUCUUUCGACAGGGAAGAAGGGUAGCUAUGAAAAUAUUGUAGUUGCUGGACGGUACCUGAUGAAGAAGCUCCGGCUAACUCCGUGCCAGCAGCCGCGGUAAUACGGAGGGUGCAAGCGUUGUUCGGAAUUACUGGGCGUAAAGAGCACGUAGACGGGCCAAUAAGUCGGUUGUGAAAUCCCAGAGCUUAACUUUGGGAAUUGCAGUNGAAACUGUUGGUCUUGAAUAUCUGAGAGGGUGGCGGAAUUCCUGGUGUAGCAGUGAAAUGCGUAGAUAUCAGGAGGAGCACCAGAGGCGAAGGCGGCUAACUGGCAGAAUAUUGACGUUGAAGUGCGAAACGUGGGGGAGCNAACAGGNUUNG
This 739-nucleotide ribosomal RNA is filed under the name uncultured bacterium TIHP302-14. RNAcentral's name for it is "bacterial SSU rRNA". It matches the Rfam family "Bacterial small subunit ribosomal RNA", at positions 50 to 781 of the family's 1533-position model. The record is from RNAcentral.